AUUGAACGCUGGCGGCAUGCUUUACACAUGCAAGUCGAACGGUAACAGGUUAAGCUGACGAGUGGCGAACGGGUGAGUAAUGCAUCGGAACGUGCCCGAUCGUGGGGGAUAACGCAGCGAAAGCUGCGCUAAUACCGCAUACGAUCUGAGGAUGAAAGCGGGGGACCGUAAGCCCUCGCGCGAUCGGAGCGGCCGAUGUCAGAUUAGGUAGUUGGUGGGGUAAAGGCUCACCAAGCCGACGAUCUGUAGCUGGUCGGAGAGGACGACCAGCCAAACAUGGCGUGAGACACGGCCGCGACUCCGACGGGAGGCAGCAGCGGGGAAUUGUGGAACAUGGGCGAAAGCCUGAUCCAGCAACGCCGCGUGCAGGAAGAAGGCCUUCGGGUUGUAAACUGCUUUUGUACGGAGCGAAAAGGCUCUCUCUAAUACAGGGGGCUCAUGACGGUACCGUAAGAAUAAGCACCGGCUAACUACGUGCCAGCCGCCGCCGUAA
This 493-nucleotide ribosomal RNA is filed under the name uncultured bacterium. Its description in RNAcentral is "partial 16S ribosomal RNA". It matches the Rfam family "Bacterial small subunit ribosomal RNA", at positions 29 to 523 of the family's 1533-position model. The record is from RNAcentral.